GACCGUGAAAACCUGGGGCUCAACCCCAGGCCUGCGGUCGAUACGGGCAGGCUAGAGUUCGGUAGGGGAGACUGGAAUUCCUGGUGUAGCGGUGAAAUGCGCAGAUAUCAGGAGGAACACCGGUGGCGAAGGCGGGUCUCUGGGCCGAUACUGACGCUGAGGAGCGAAAGCGUGGGGAGCGAACAGGAUUAGAUACCCUGGUAGUCCACGCUGUAAACGUUGGGCGCUAGGUGUGGGGGGCCUCUCCGGUUCCCUGUGCCGCAGCUAACGCAUUAAGCGCCCCGCCUGGGGAGUACGGCCGCAAGGCUAAAACUCAAAGGGAUUGACGGGGGCCCGCACAAGCGGUGGAGCAUGUGGUUUAAUUCGACGCAACGCGAAGAACCUUACCCAGGUUGGACAUGCUCGUGGAAAAGCUUGAAAGAGUAAAGACCCCUUCGGGGGGGCGAGCUCAGGUGCUGCAUGGCUGUCGUCAGCUCGUGCCGUGAGGUGUUGGGUUAAGUCCCGCAACGAGCGUAACCCCUGUCUUCAGUUGCCAUCGGGUGGUGCCGGGCACUCUGAAGAGACUGCCCAGGAUAACGGGGAGGAAGGUGGGGAUGACGUCAAGUCAGCAUGGCCUUUAUGCCUGGGGCUACACACGUGCUACAAUGGCCGGUACAGAAGGUUGCAUUCCCGCAAGGGGGAGCCAAUCCGAAAAAACCGGCCUCAGUUCAGAUUGAGGUCUGCAACCCGACCUCAUGAAGGAGGAAUCGCUAGUAAUCGCGGAUCAGCACGCCGCGGUGAAUACGUUCCCGGGCCUUGUACACACCGCCCGUCACACCACGAAAGUCAGUUGUACCUGAAGUCGCUGGAGCCAACCCGCAAGGGAGGCAGGUGCCCACGGUAUGGUUGAUGAUUGGGGUGAAGUCGUAACAAGGUAGCCGUA
RNAcentral lists this ribosomal RNA (922 nucleotides) under uncultured Actinomycetes bacterium. Its description in RNAcentral is "bacterial SSU rRNA". It matches the Rfam family "Bacterial small subunit ribosomal RNA", at positions 590 to 1504 of the family's 1533-position model. Lineage: Bacteria; Bacillati; Actinomycetota; Actinomycetes. The record is from RNAcentral.